CCCAAGGAUGGGGCCGCGGCCGAUCAGGUUGUUGGUGAGGUAAUGGCCCACCAAGCCUUUAACCGGUACGGGCCGUGGGAGCGGUAGCCCGGAGAUGGGCACUGAGACAAGGGCCCAGGCCCUACGGGGCGCAGCAGUCGCGAAAACUUCGCAAUAAGCGAAAGCUUGACGGGGCCAUCCCGAGUGCCAUCUGCUGAGGAUGGCUUUUACCCAGUAUAGAUAGCUGGGAGAAUAAGGAGAGGGCAAGUCUGGUGUCAGCCGCCGCGGUAAUACCAGCUCUACGAGUUGUAGGGAUGUUUAUCGGGCCUAAAGCAUCCGUAGCCGGCUGGACAAGUCCUCUGUUAAAUCCAGCGACCAAUCGUUGGUCUGCGGGGGAUACUGUCCGGCUAGGGGGCGGGAGAGGCCGUCGGUAUUCUUGGGGUAGGGGUGAAAUCCUAUAAUCCCAGGAGGACCACCAGUGGCGAAGGCUGUCGGCUAGAACGCGCCCGACGGUGAGGGAUGAAAGCUGGGGGAGCGAACCGGAUUAGAUACCCGGGUAGUCCCAGCUGUAAACGAU
Molecule: ribosomal RNA, 556 nt
Filed under: uncultured archaeon
Lineage: Archaea
Description: bacterial SSU rRNA
Rfam family: Archaeal small subunit ribosomal RNA
Source: RNAcentral